Molecule: ribosomal RNA, 253 nt
Filed under: uncultured bacterium
Lineage: Bacteria
Description: partial 16S ribosomal RNA
Rfam family: Bacterial small subunit ribosomal RNA
Source: RNAcentral
GACGAACCGAGCGAACGUUGUUCGGAAUCACUGGGCUUAAAGGGCGCGUAGGCGGGCUAUCAAGUCCGGGGUGAAAUCCUCCAGCUUAACUGGAGAACUGCCUCGGAUACUGAUGGUCUCGAGGGAGAUAGGGGCAAGCGGAACUGUGGGUGGAGCGGUGAAAUGCGUUGAUAUCCAUAGGAGCUCCGGUGGCGAAGGCGGCUUGCUGGAUCUCAUCUGACGCUGAGGCGCGAAAGCCAGGGGAGCAAACGGG